RNAcentral lists this ribosomal RNA (783 nucleotides) under uncultured bacterium. RNAcentral describes it as "bacterial SSU rRNA". It matches the Rfam family "Bacterial small subunit ribosomal RNA", at positions 25 to 808 of the family's 1533-position model. The record is from RNAcentral.
CAGGAUGAACGCUGGCGGCGUGCCUAACACAUGCAAGUCGAGCGAAGCGGUUUUAAGGAAGUUUUCGGAUGGAAUUAAAACUGACUGAGCGGCGGACGGGUGAGUAACGCGUGGGUAACCUGCCUCAUACAGGGGGAUAACAGUUAGAAAUGGCUGCUAAUACCGCAUAAGCACACAGCUUCGCAUGGAGCAGUGUGAAAAACUCCGGUGGUAUGAGAUGGACCCGCGUCUGAUUAGCUAGUUGGUAAGGUAACGGCUUACCAAGGCGACGAUCAGUAGCCGACCUGAGAGGGUGACCGGCCACAUUGGGACUGAGACACGGCCCAAACUCCUACGGGAGGCAGCAGUGGGGAAUAUUGCACAAUGGGGGAAACCCUGAUGCAGCGACGCCGCGUGAGUGAAGAAGUAUCUCGGUAUGUAAAGCUCUAUCAGCAGGGAAGAAAAUGACGGUACCUGACUAAGAAGCCCCGGCUAACUACGUGCCAGCAGCCGCGGUAAUACGUAGGGGGCAAGCGUUAUCCGGAUUUACUGGGUGUAAAGGGAGCGUAGACGGCGGAGCAAGUCUGAAGUGAAAGCCCGGGGCUCAACCCCGGGACUGCUUUGGAAACUGUUCUGCUAGAGUGCUGGAGAGGUAAGUGGAAUUCCUAGUGUAGCGGUGAAAUGCGUAGAUAUUAGGAGGAACACCAGUGGCGAAGGCGGCUUACUGGACAGUAACUGACGUUGAGGCUCGAAAGCGUGGGGAGCAAACAGGAUUAGAUACCCUGGUAGUCCACGCCGUAAACG